UUGUGGAGGAGGACGCCGAAGGUGGGGCUAAUGACUGGGGUGAAGUCGUAACAAGGUAGCCGUACCGGAAGGUGCGGCUGGAUCACCUCCUAACAGGGAGACAACAAAAUGUUUAAUAUUAUUAUUUUGUCACCUUAGGUCGAUCGGUAUCUCACAUUCUUAAUUUAUUAAGGAUUUUAUUUCCUAAGUUUUUCUAGGUCACACCCAUUACAUUUCCUGGGCCAUUAGCUCAGGUGGUUAGAGCGCACCCCUGAUAAGGGUGAGGUCCCUGGUUCAAGUCCAGGAUGGCCCAUAUCUCUAUGUUGGGGGUAUAGCUCAGUUGGUAGAGCGCCUGCUUUGCAAGCAGGAUGUCAGCGGUUCGAGUCCGCUUACCUCCACUGAUUACCACCUCUUCCAUAAUUUUUUUUGAGGAAACGUUUUGAGUAGUGAUCAAAUCCUGAACGAAUCUAGCUUCCUAAUGAAAUCAUUAAGAUGCUGGACUCAUUGAAUUAAUUUCAUUGUUUUCAGAGAACCUUGACAACUGCAUAGAUUAUUUUUAAAGACAAUUAAGCAUCUUUAUGAUGCAGAUUUAUUAUUUGUGCGAAUGCAUUAAUAACAAUUCUAUUAAGCUGAUGCUUCAAUUAUGAAGUUAUUGGUCAAGCUACAA
Molecule: unclassified non-coding RNA, 646 nt
Filed under: uncultured Prochlorococcus sp.
Lineage: Bacteria; Bacillati; Cyanobacteriota; Cyanophyceae; Synechococcales; Prochlorococcaceae
Description: partial 16S-23S ribosomal RNA intergenic spacer; may also contain 16S ribosomal RNA and 23S ribosomal RNA
Rfam family: tRNA (bases 305-377)
Source: RNAcentral